AUGUUCUUCGCGGCGAUUUUCACUGAUUGUGGCAGGUUAAAACGCCAUUAUCAUUAAAAAAAAAAGGAAACACAUUUAAAGCUGAGGUGGUGUAUUUGCAUAUGAGAAUAAUCACUAUUCAGUCUUGUUGAAUGUGAGAGAGUUAGCGAGAGGGAUCUGAAUAUGACGAACCCUAAUUUUUGAUCUCCCUCGUUAUCGGCGUUCAUCUUUUGCCGCCGUAUACAAUGCGGUUGUUGCUGCCUUCGAAGGAGCGCUCUUCUUUGAUUAGGUUUUCUAGCUUCGAUUUGAGGGUUUGUUGCGCCGCCCUCAUCUCCUCGUCCACCACAAGCAACACCAUCAUUGCUGUCUUCGAUGGAGCUUCUACUAUCUGGUAUAAUCUGAGAUCGCACAUCGGAGGGAGAGGGAAAGGGGAAUGAGAGUGAGUUGAUCUGAAACCCUAAAGCUUGUCGCCGCCAUGGUCACCAGCAUUCAUCUCAUUUCUCCCGCUUCCAUCAACCUUCUGCACUCGAGUGAAGGCGCCUCCUCUAUUGACGUGUUUCCAAAUCUGGUCACUAUGCCAUAGCUUAUGAGAUUGAGCCAAGCACCUCUUCCAUUAAUGUGUCUCCUCCGCCAGCAGCACCGGUACGUUCUCACUUCCGCAUUCUCUUUUUCUUCGAUCCACUCAACAUUGCUUGUAGUGUGUUUCUGUUCAUUCUCAAUUGCUUGUUUUCUAGUAGUAUUGUUAUGCUUGCCAUGUGGUUGAUGAAUUUCCUAAGAGAGAUAGAAAAGAGUGGAACUUAUUUUCUGAUAUAGAUAGAUGAUUCUUUGGUGCUUAUUAUUAUAACUACUGCAUGUUCAUCAUUGUGCAUUUUUUAAAUUCAAAACUAGCUUAGCUCCCAAUUUAAAUCCAACAAGGACAUGCCUUCUUUGUUUUCUUUUUUCAUCAAUGUCAUGACUUGAAUGCUCACAUUUUAUGGUGGGAAAAUCAAACUACAUUUACUGCAUUUUAGUUUGCAGUUGACUUGUUUAUAUGCUAAGUUGUCUAAAGAAAGAUAUACUCUGCCUAGUAAAUUGAAUACCUAAUUGUUUAAAGAAUCUUCUUGUUGUUUAUUUUGUUAAUUAUCUUGUAAAAAGGAUUGAAUGAAAAGUACUUGUUUAAAUCCCAUGUAUUAGACGAGGGUGGCCAAGGAGUACUUCAUCUUGCGGCUGCUCUUGGCUAUGAUUGGGCCUUACAACCCACAAUGAUUUCUGGUGUAAAUAUGAACUUUUGCAUUGUAAAUGGAUGGACUGCUCUUCAUUGGGCUGCAUUCUGUGGCAGGUACAGGCUCUUCUAUCUGAUAAAGAAGAAUUUGAGAAAGACUUGAAAAGAUUAAAUGAUAAGCUUACUUCAGCCUCUCUGACUAUAAUGCUAAAGGUGAGCUGUUGAAAAAGAAAACAAAAAUGGCUCAGGAAGCAACAGCAGGUAAUAUUCAUUGAUCUGUAUAUUUCCCUUAUCUGUCCCCACUGUUCUGUAAUAUAGGACUUGAAAAAUACAGAAAUAACCAAAUUAUGUGUAAUCUAGAGAAUUUAGUCUUGGGGGGUCACUUUCACUGUGCACUUUCUCAGGUGAAGAUUGCUCUCUAUCCAAAGAAGCUAAUAAUUUGAAGAUCAAACUUGGGCAUGAAGAGAUUAUUAUAUCUCACGGAACCAGCCCUUUUAAUUUCUUUCUCCCUGGUCUCAUUUCUAAGCUUCUAUUUAAUAUUAUAAUAUAAUAUAGUAAUAUGUCACAUGGAACUACCUCUUCUGCCAGUGGUAUUAGUCCAUAGUGAUUUUGUGUAAUAUUUAUAUAUGAAUGAAUACAGAUUUAAUUUGGUAUUUCCUUUGUUGUAUCUCUGAUCUGAAUGCUGUGGACACAAACACAAACUAAUGUUUGCUUCCUUAUAUAUCUUGAUAUGAAUUCUCAUUAAUAACUUUAGACGCACACACAGACAUCACAUAUAUAUAGCUAUAACUUUAGAAGAAUUCAGAUCAAUAACACAUACAUGUCUUAAUUUUAUGCAUCUAUCUUGAUUAUUAGAAGAAUUAUAAUAGAUGAUAUGCAUGAUUCAAGAUUCAUCAAGGUAAACAAUAAUGUGUGUAUGUGAUCAAUUUGUACUACAAAGUCACUUGGAUUGCUUUAGUAGUAUUGAAGGAUUUGCAUUAUAUGUGUGAGGUAGUAUGGUCUUGAUGAGUUUAAAUUCCAUUGUAGGUCUGAUAUUUUAGGUCUCUCUCAGGAUAAAAUAUUUUGUUAUCAUAAAGGUAUAAUACCUUCAUUCUUCAGAUUUUGAUAAAAUAUUUUGUUAUCAUAAAGGUAUAAUACCUUCAUUCUUCAGAUUUUUCUUUGUAGGUCAACUUUUAGAUCAAAUGUUGCUAGCAAUUUAUACUUUUAACCUCUUAGAAUUGUUACUUCUUAUACAGAAUGCACUAGAUGGUUCAUUUUUUUUGCUUUAUGCUUGUGCUCACAAUCCUACUGGAGUAGAUCCUUCAGAAGAACAAUGGCAAGAGAUCUCGUCCCUCAUCAAGAUUCUAAGUUUAUUGGUUAUUGUGAUUCUAGAUCAUUAUCUUCCUAAGAGUCUCUAGCAGAGAUCAAUUUACAUUUGACAGAGGCACAGAAUACUGGAGGAGUUUGUUUUUCUUUGGGAAAGGGCAUGUACCGUGUGCUUUAUAUUCCUGAAGAUGAAGUUGUUCUCUUAAAUUCUAGGGAGAAGGCGCCUUACAUGAUCUGUGUUGAAGUAUUAAGAUGUGACAUGAUAAGGUUAGGGACUUAAGCUCUCAUCUGAAUACUCUAGCAAAGUCAGAAACAGAGGGUGUCCAAGGAGCUGCUGCGGUUUUUAAUCAAGCCCCGCUUUAUAAACAUAAACACAAAUAUGAAGGCUAUGCUAUAGACUGGAGUCUUCUUGUUCCCGGAGCCAGAAGGCUUGUAUCUGUUGUAGGAAUUGAAUCAAGAGAGUGAGAUUUCAUCGCCAAAAUAGUUAGAAAGUAGGUCUUCUGGAGAAAGCAAUAGAGCAGCAUGAAAUAUGGAGAUUUUAUGUAUUAAGAGUUACAUGUUAUGACAUUUAUAGUUGAAAAAUUAUGUUAUGUUUGAUACUUUGUAUAGGAGUUAUUACUUUUGAUUUCUAAUACUAAAAAAUCGUAUAUUAUGUUUAAUACUU
Arachis ipaensis is the source of this 3149-nucleotide non-coding RNA. The record is from RefSeq and is a predicted model, not a curated record. NCBI's taxonomy places the organism in Eukaryota, Viridiplantae, Streptophyta, Magnoliopsida, Fabales, Fabaceae.